Molecule: long non-coding RNA, 339 nt
Organism: Oxyura jamaicensis (ruddy duck)
Lineage: Eukaryota; Metazoa; Chordata; Aves; Anseriformes; Anatidae
Exons: 2
Source: RefSeq, a predicted model, not a curated record
ACCUAUCUGCCUUUCUUGCUUGGGUGCUGUGGGAUUGCACCUUUGUUGGUGCAAACAAGAUCCAGAAGAUGAUGUCCUGGAAAGCUCCCAGCCUAAACAGGUGGUCCGUGGACGAUGGCAAGCUCCCUCUGUGCCAGUGAGAAGGAGACAGCCUCCCUCUGUGAUGUGUCCAGCAAGUCAUUGUAAAACUUUAAAGGCUCUGGGGAGACAGCAAGAGAUUCUCAGCCCUAACUUUGGUGUUUGCUGAGAAACAAAUCCAUGAAUAUAAACCAGAUGCUCCCAGUGGCUCAGCCAAGUCUAUUAGAUAAUGAGAAUAACUUGACUGGGGAGUGAGAUAUG